UGCUCAGGUUAGUAUCGAAUUCCUGAACUCACGUGAUCCUCCUUCCUCAUCCUGUCAAGUAGCUGGGAUACAGGCACAGGCCACCUCAUCCUACUAUAAGCUGCUUCUUGUGCAAAGUUUAUUCAGCUCAUCCCAAGCCGCACUCCACGUUUGACAGUUCUGGAGGUGGAAAGCCCAGCCUCCCUCCAACUCUGCAGACUAUCCUUCCACCAUCACAAGGACUCUAGAAGCCUCACCCCAUCCCUUAAGUGAG
This 253-nucleotide long non-coding RNA is filed under the name Fukomys damarensis (Damara mole-rat). Its description in RNAcentral is "lncRNA (ENSFDAG00000029398.1)". The record is from RNAcentral. Lineage: Eukaryota; Metazoa; Chordata; Mammalia; Rodentia; Bathyergidae.